RNAcentral lists this ribosomal RNA (481 nucleotides) under uncultured bacterium. Its description in RNAcentral is "partial 16S ribosomal RNA". It matches the Rfam family "Bacterial small subunit ribosomal RNA", at positions 28 to 507 of the family's 1533-position model. The record is from RNAcentral.
GAUGAACGCUGGCGGCGUGCUUAACACAUGCAAGUCGAACGAAGCACUUUAUUUGAUUUCCUUCGGGACUGAUUAUUUUGUGACUGAGUGGCGGACGGGUGAGUAACGCGUGGGUAACCUGCCUUGUACAGGGGGAUAACAGUUGGAAACGGCUGCUAAUACCGCAUAAGCGCACAGCAUCGCAUGAUGCAGUGUGAAAAACUCCGGUGGUAUAAGAUGGACCCGCGUUGGAUUAGCUAGUUGGUGAGGUAACGGCCCACCAAGGCGACGAUCCAUAGCCGACCUGAGAGUGUGACCGGCCACAUUGGGACUGAGACACGGCCCAAACUCCUACGGGAGGCAGCAGUGGGGAAUAUUGCACAAUGGGCGAAAGCCUGAUGCAGCGACGCCGCGUGAGCGAAGAAGUAUUUCGGUAUGUAAAGCUCUAUCAACAGGGAAGAUAAUGACGGUACCUGACUAAGAAGCACCGGCUAAAUACGUG